UUUUUUUUUCUUUUUCUUUUUCUUUUUUUUUUAAUACUUUUUGUUUUCCCUUUCCAAAAACCUUUUUUUCUUUUUUCUUCCUUCAAAACUAUCAGGACCUUCACUCUGACCUUAAACAUCUGCUUUUAGACACUCAGUUCCCUGACAGUGGCCUGUGUUUCCUUAAGGGCAGCCUUAAUUCAUCAUCAGGUGGGGAUUUUCCUAUUAGAGUUAGUUCCAGCACUUGCAAAAUGUUCUCCUGGAGCAGGAGGCUUAGGGCCCAGAGAGGUGUAUAUUUCUGCCAUCCUGGUUUUUGCUGGUUUGUUGUUGUUGUGCAUGUGUGCUUUUAAUGGAAGGUUGUGAUAAAACCUUCCUGCUGGUUUUUAGUGUUUAAGGCCUAAGACAAGGUUUUGAUGUGUAUCGCAGGAAUCACGAACUUCAAAGGCUUGUCAGCUCUAAGGUUACGGUUCACCUGCGCGGGGUCCUUGGUACUGUAAAUAUCUCCUGCAUGUUACUGUGACUUAGUGACCAUUUCUGGUAUACCCAUUUCUGGAAUAGCAUUAUCAAAAAUCUGCACGUGUUCCUGCGGUGUAUUCGGAUGCUCUUUGAAUAGUCAUGUUUUUAUCUUCAGUAGGGGGUAUUUUAAAGUAUGUCUAUUCCUAGUUUUAGUUAAUUAUCUUUUAAUGAAAGUGUCAGUCAUAUUCACAUCUGCAGUAUUAGGUUAAGAUAAUUAGAUUUUCAAAUGAGAAGCAAUCUUCUUAAAUCCCACACAGGAAAAUAUUUGUAGAAGAUUCCGAUUUAUAAUGACAUCUGUACAUUUUACCCUACUUUUCAUCAUAAUAGUGAGCCCCCCUCCCCUCAAGAAUGAAAUAUGUCUCGUAAAAUACAGCAGAUAAAAUAUUAAUAAAAUAUCAAUACUUGCAGGGAAACUGGAAGAUGAUGCAUGUAUAUGCAUAAAGCCUGGAUUGUGUGCAAAGAGACCCUUUCCUUGGGCUGAUAUUUACUUCAUUUUGAUAAGACUGUUUACAGUUGUUAUUGUAUAUUCUGUAAGGCUUUGCUUUUUACUUUGUUGGUAUCUCCAAGCAAUUACAUGGUGGUCAACAAAUAAAG
Molecule: long non-coding RNA, 1089 nt
Filed under: Taeniopygia guttata (zebra finch)
Lineage: Eukaryota; Metazoa; Chordata; Aves; Passeriformes; Estrildidae
Description: lncRNA (ENSTGUG00000020337.1)
Source: RNAcentral